RNAcentral lists this microRNA (21 nucleotides) under Ornithorhynchus anatinus (platypus). RNAcentral's name for it is "oan-miR-1381-3p". The record is from miRBase by way of RNAcentral. Lineage: Eukaryota; Metazoa; Chordata; Mammalia; Monotremata; Ornithorhynchidae.
GUACGGGAGGUUGCGAGGUUC